Molecule: ribosomal RNA, 115 nt
Filed under: Danio rerio (zebrafish)
Lineage: Eukaryota; Metazoa; Chordata; Actinopteri; Cypriniformes; Danionidae
Source: RNAcentral
GCCAGCAGCUAGCUCUCUGCAACUCUCACAUGGUCGCCCACUGAAGCUAAGCAGGGCUGUGCCCGGUCAGUACCUGGAUGGGAGACCACAUGGGAAAGCUAGGUUGCUGCCGGAA